GAUGAACGCUGGCGGCGUGCCUAAUACAUGCAAGUCGAGCGAACAGAUGAGGAGCUUGCUCCUCUGACGUUAGCGGCGGACGGGUGAGUAACACGUGGAUAACCUACCUAUAAGACUGGGAUAACUUCGGGAAACCGGAGCUAAUACCGGAUAAUAUAUUGAACCGCAUGGUUCAAUAGUGAAAGACGGUUUUGCUGUCACUUAUAGAUGGAUCCGCGCCGCAUUAGCUAGUUGGUAAGGUAACGGCUUACCAAGGCAACGAUGCGUAGCCGACCUGAGAGGGGUGUCCGGCAAACCUGAACUGAGAAAAGGUUCAGAACUCCAAGGGAGGCAGGAGUAGGGAAUCUUCCGCAAUGGGCGAAAGCCUGACGGAGCAACGCCGCGUGAGUGAUGAAGGUCUUCGGAUCGUAAAACUCUGUUAUUAGGGAAGAACAAAUGUGUAAGUAACUAUGCACGUCUUGACGGUACCUAAUCAGAAAGCCACGGCUAACUACGUG
Molecule: ribosomal RNA, 497 nt
Filed under: uncultured bacterium
Lineage: Bacteria
Description: partial 16S ribosomal RNA
Rfam family: Bacterial small subunit ribosomal RNA
Source: RNAcentral